This 369-nucleotide long non-coding RNA is filed under the name Capsella rubella. RNAcentral describes it as "long non-coding RNA (CRUB_LNC003901)". The record is from RNAcentral. Lineage: Eukaryota; Viridiplantae; Streptophyta; Magnoliopsida; Brassicales; Brassicaceae.
CCUCAGAGAUCACGAAAUCUCCACCCACAAAAACUGGAUGCGGCUCAUGGAUAACUCGUCGGUACGACGAUACAACGUCAACAUCAUCCGAUAGCGAUGUAGAGAACCAGCUGCAAGAGAAGAAACCCACUGAGGCAUUUAAUCGAACAAGUGGUGCGUCACAAUUAGUAACAGUCGAUGGAGAGACUCAGCUAGAGCUGGAAACACUACUAAAGGCAUCAGCUUACGUACUUGGUACAAGCAGAAGCGGCGGGAUCGUGUACAAAGCCGUGUUAGAGAACGGCUCAGCUUUCGCAGUGCGGCGGAUCGGGGCGGAGAGUUGUACGACGGCGAAAUUCAAAGAAUUCGAAAAGGAGGUUCAGGGUAUCG